ACGAACGCUGGCGGCGUGCUUAACACAUGCCAGUCGCACGGAAAGGCCCUGCUUGCAGGGUACUCGAGUGGCGAACGGGUGAGUAACACGUGGGUGAUCUGCCCUGCACUUCGGGAUAAGCCUGGGAAACUGGGUCUAAUACCGGAUAGGAGCCAUUUUUAGUGUGAUGGUUGGAAAGUUUUUUCGGUGUAGGAUGAGCUCGCGGCCUAUCAGCUUGUUGGUGGGGUAAUGGCCUACCAAGGCGGCGACGGGUAGCCGGCCUGAGAGGGUGGACGGCCACAUUGGGACUGAGAUACGGCCCAGACUCCUACGGGAGGCAGCAGUGGGGAAUAUUGCACAAGGGGCGCAAGCCUGAUGCAGCGACGCCGCGUGGGGGAUGACGGCCUUCGGGUUGUAAACUCCUUUCGCUAGGGACGAAGCUUUUUGUGACGGUACCUAGAUAAGAAGCACCGGCUAACUACGUG
RNAcentral lists this ribosomal RNA (464 nucleotides) under uncultured bacterium. RNAcentral's name for it is "partial 16S ribosomal RNA". It matches the Rfam family "Bacterial small subunit ribosomal RNA", at positions 29 to 507 of the family's 1533-position model. The record is from RNAcentral.